This is a long non-coding RNA of Serinus canaria (Common canary), 1053 nucleotides long. RefSeq lists it as uncharacterized. The transcript has 5 exons. The record is from RefSeq and is a predicted model, not a curated record. Lineage: Eukaryota; Metazoa; Chordata; Aves; Passeriformes; Fringillidae.
UAGAGGGCAAUAGAGAAAUACAGUUUGUGAUGCCUAAAGGAUUUGAAGCCCUGAUUAUGUGUUUACAGAAAAGAAAAAGAAGAAAAGAAGAGCCAGGAGGAUAGGUUGUUCAGUUUACUACCGGAGACCUGACUGUGACAGACCACCAAGAAAACAAAAUUUUCAAAGAGAGUAGAGAAGACCUUCUGCAGCACCUGCAAGUCUGUCCUUUUUUCUUCAGAGUUACGUAGGAUAACUUAGCCAGAACUUAUUGAUGUCUGCAUGUUCAGUGGACUCGGGAAUGGACUGGGAGAUGCGGAAACGUACUCUUUGGAAGGAACAGGAGAGGAGGCAUUUCAAAGAUCCUGCAGGUGACAAAGGGAGGAAGAAGAAGGUAUUCAAACAAUUGGAAACUUUUCAAUCAAGAAUGUGAAAUAAUAGGUUAAAUAGGGCUGAUAAUUCAUGGUGAUGAUCUGCUGACAGAAUAAAUAAAUCAUAGAAAGUGCCAAGACUACACAGGCAUUUGCUGUGGUGUCACCCACAUGAGGAACUUUCAUCAUAGUCUUUCUUCAAGUAUGUUCUCUCCUGUGGGUUCAUUAUUUUUCAGAGGAUGGGUCUUUCUGCCCUGCAGGGAUCUAUCUAUCACUGCUGACUCUCUGCAUCUUCUCCACAUGGAAGAAGUAAUUGGAUUGUAUUUUCUGCACACGACCAAGACAGCAGGGAAACCCACAGCUGUAAGCCAGAGAACUAAGCUGUCUCGAGAAGGCUGGGCUUGGGCCUGGGCUUUACCAGCAUGCCUAAUAAUGUCAUCAGGACUAAGAACAUGAGGAGGAUGAGGUGUCCUGUACCCAGCAGUGACACAUGCCAGUACAAACCAAAAUUGACUGGACCUCAGACAAAGGAGAAGAAGGGAAGUUGUUGAGGUCCCCACACAGAUGUCCGAUUACAAUUCCACCAAGGUGCAUUUGAAACUGUGUCACAGCUCAGCCUCUUCUCCCCAGUGCCCGUGGAGGCAGCUUCCAGCAUGACACAUCACAUCUUUGACUCACCAGGUAAGGCUGGGAUAUCAGUAUA